UAACGGAAGCAGCUCGGCAGUUUGCCGCAGUGCGGAAAAUGUUCCGGAAUCGAUAAGAAUGAACAGAUUCAGUGUGGUCCAUGAGGUUUCAGCCACGACCUGACAUGCAAAGAAUUCAGCAAUUCCUGGGAAUAGAAGAGCGGUGCGAUGACCAGCAGUACCAGCAGCAGGACGAGGGCGCUCACCAGCCCAGAUACCUGAGUCUGACACCCUGUGGACUCCUUGACGAGGGUCUUAGUCAGCGCAGCGCUGGUGGUGAAGC
Long non-coding RNA from Epinephelus moara (kelp grouper), 262 nucleotides. RefSeq lists it as uncharacterized. Lineage: Eukaryota; Metazoa; Chordata; Actinopteri; Perciformes; Serranidae. The transcript has 3 exons. The record is from RefSeq and is a predicted model, not a curated record.